UACGUAGGGUGCAAGCGUUACUCGGAAUUACUGGGCGUAAAGCGUGCGCAGGCGGUGAUGUAAGACAGUUGUGAAAUCCCCGGGCUCAACCUGGGAACUGCAUCUGUGACUGCAUCGCUGGAGUGCGGCAGAGGGGGAUGGAAUUCCGCGUGUAGCAGUGAAAUGCGUAGAUAUGCGGAGGAACACCGAUGGCGAAGGCAAUCCCCUGGGCCUGCACUGACGCUGAGGAGCGAAAGCGUGGGUAGCAAACAGG
RNAcentral lists this ribosomal RNA (253 nucleotides) under uncultured bacterium. RNAcentral's name for it is "partial 16S ribosomal RNA". It matches the Rfam family "Bacterial small subunit ribosomal RNA", at positions 524 to 776 of the family's 1533-position model. The record is from RNAcentral.